AUAGUCAGGGGAGAUACCAUGAUCAUGAAGGUAGUUUUCCCAGGGUAAGGCUCAUCAAUUGCACUAUGGGUGUGCUGACCCCUGCCAUUUCCCCAAAUGCGGGAAACUCGACUGCAUAAUUUGUGGUAGUGGGGGACUGCAUUCGUGCUCUCCCCUG
RNAcentral lists this small nuclear RNA (157 nucleotides) under Chelonoidis abingdonii (Abingdon island giant tortoise). RNAcentral describes it as "U1 spliceosomal RNA (ENSCABG00000000273.1)". It matches the Rfam family "U1 spliceosomal RNA". Rfam says of the family: U1 is a small nuclear RNA (snRNA) component of the spliceosome (involved in pre-mRNA splicing). Its 5' end forms complementary base pairs with the 5' splice junction, thus defining the 5' donor site of an intron. The record is from Rfam by way of RNAcentral. Lineage: Eukaryota; Metazoa; Chordata; Testudines; Testudinidae.